CCUACGGGAGGCAGCAGUGGGGAAUAUUGCACAAUGGGGGAAACCCUGAUGCAGCGACGCCGCGUGAGUGAAGAAGUAAUUCGUUACGUAAAGCUCUAUCAGCAGGGAAGAAAUACUGACCUUACGGUCAGCAGACGGUACCUUAGUAAGAAGCCCCGGCUAACUACGUGCCAGCAGCCGCGGUAAUACGGAGGGGGCAAGCGUUAUCCGGAUUUACUGGGUGUAAAGGGAGCGUUGACGGUGCGCCAAGUCUGGAGGGAAAUGCCGCAGCUUAACUGCGGAACUGCUGUGGAAACUGGCGAUCUAGAGUGCGGGAGGGGUAAGCGGAAUGCGUAGUGUAGCGGUGAAAUGCGGAGAUAUUAGGAGGAACACCGAUGGCGAAGGCGGCUUACUGGACCGUAACUGACGUUGAGGCUCGAAAGCGUGGGGAGCAAACAGGAUUAGAUACCCCAGUAGUC
Molecule: ribosomal RNA, 458 nt
Filed under: uncultured bacterium
Lineage: Bacteria
Description: partial 16S ribosomal RNA
Rfam family: Bacterial small subunit ribosomal RNA
Source: RNAcentral